AUGGAUUGUCAAAGUCAAAUGUGG
RNAcentral lists this non-coding RNA (24 nucleotides) under Arabidopsis thaliana (thale cress). The record is from RNAcentral. Lineage: Eukaryota; Viridiplantae; Streptophyta; Magnoliopsida; Brassicales; Brassicaceae.